This 392-nucleotide transfer RNA is filed under the name uncultured marine bacterium. RNAcentral describes it as "partial contains 16S ribosomal RNA, 16S-23S ribosomal RNA intergenic spacer, and 23S ribosomal RNA". The stretch from base 101 to 174 matches the Rfam family "tRNA". The record is from RNAcentral.
UCUAAGGAUGAAUGAAAGUAAAAUUUCAUUCUAAAUAAUAUACAUCGGUAAUGUUGACCGUCCUCAUUUCUCUUCUUAAAGUAGUGUUUCUCUUGCAUGGGGGCCGGUAGCUCAGCUGGUUAGAGCACACCCUUGAUAAGGGUGGGGUCGAAAGUUCGAGUCUUUCUCGGCCCACCAAUAUAAGAUCAUGGGGGAUUAGCUCAGCUGGGAGAGCGCCUGAUUUGCAUUCAGGAGGUCAGCGGUUCGAUCCCGCUAUCCUCCACCAAAAACACUUAGCUAUAAAAAUCGUAAAUAAAAAUAAUAAUUAAUAUCAAUAUCUAUAUCCGAACAUUAGUAAUGUUAUUAGCUAAUGUUCAAAAUAAAAAUUUGAUUCAACACAGAAUUUUUUUCUG